Long non-coding RNA from Cornus florida, 3122 nucleotides. RefSeq lists it as uncharacterized. The transcript has 2 exons. The record is from RefSeq and is a predicted model, not a curated record. NCBI's taxonomy places the organism in Eukaryota, Viridiplantae, Streptophyta, Magnoliopsida, Cornales, Cornaceae.
AAGUGAUUUUAUUUUAAUUUUAUUUAUUAUUAUUUUAAUUUUUAUUUUUAUCAAUUUUUCAUUUUAAUUUAUAUAUUCUUUUUAGUUUUAUUUUUUAAAAAAAAAAAAUUAAAAAGAAAAGAAAAGAAAAGAAUUGAUUCCAUGAGAGAUCACUCCCAUCCUUUGGCACAGACUAACAAAAGAAGGGCUCACGUGGAUCAAUCCCCAAUCAUGGGGAUCAAACCCUUUCCACUUUCUCACAUUACACAGUGAAGAGAAAAUGUUUUUUUUUUUUUUUUUUUUUUUUUUUUGACAUAAAAUUAAGGAUCCCUCACUUAAGGAUGACCGAGCCCUUAGCUUGCCCUACCCUCCAUGCCCAAACAAAAUUUUCUUUCUUUCCCCAAGAAUCUCUUCAACCUCAAAUACAUCAAUCUUUUUUUUUUUUUUUUUCCUCCGAAUUUCCUCAUCGGUCCAAUUCCUUCAUUCGUCACAAAAUUUUCUUCCUUUCCCCAAGAAUCUCUUCAACCCCAAAUACAUCAAUCUUUUAUUUUUUUUUUUUUUCCUCCGAAUUUCCUCAUCGGUCCAAUUCCUUCAUUCGUCAUCACCAAUUCUUCUCCUUCCCUGCGAAAACCUUACCCACCUCCAAUCUAAAUUUCUUGGUUCGCUCUCACUGUUCGCUCUUCUCUUCCGCGGCAUCGAAGGUAUUCAAUUCCGGCGCCAUGGCUCUCGGCCUUUGCUUUACUUCGCCGGUUUGAGACUCGGUUCUUUCUUCUUCUCUUCCGGCAGCUUUGCUUUCCUUUGUAAAACGUUGUUGGGUGCGAUUACAAGGGUGGGGUUGCCGUUCCUGAAAAACAGUAGCACCGACGGCUGGAUUUCAACGGCGUCGCGGUUGGGUCAUUCAACGACGUCGGAUCUGGGUUUUCUCCAACGAUCGCAGCUGGGUUUUCUUCGGAUCGCGGCUGUUCGCUAUUCCUUCCGACGUUAAGAUUGGUUUAGUCUUUCCAGCGCCGGCUGAGUUCCUUUCCGGCGAUUUUGACUGUGUUUCUCCAGCGAUUCCGGCGAGUGUGUGAAUCACUGUUUCUUUCCGGCGGUUUUAACUGGGUUUCUCCGGCGUUUUUGACUGGGCUUUCUCCGGCGAGUUUGUGGGUCAAAAUAAAAAAAAAAAACAGCAGCAACGAUUUCUGGGUUCUUCUCCAGUGAUUCGCGGCUGGUUUUUCUUCGGCGUCGCGGCUGGGUUUUAUCUUUCUGGCGGGAUCGUGAUUAACCCUUUAUUUUUCCGGCUCGUUCUUCUCUAAUUCCGGCUGGGUUCUUCCGGCGAGCUUGUGAAUCGCUGGUUUCUUCUCCGAUUCCGACUGGGUUUUCCUCAGGCCACGAUUUGAGACUCGGCCUUGCUUCGUUUAAACAGCAUGCGCCCUUUGCUUCGCCCUUUAUUUUUCCGAUGUCACGGGUAAUGAAAAAGGAAACCGAUCAUGCUGCGCCGACGGUUAGCUGCGUUAAAUUCCGGCCAUGGUUCUGAGUUUUUCUCCACCGACGGUUUGAGGAUUUAUUCUUUUGGUAGCAAAUCCACGACCUAAUAGUUUUUAAAAAAAAAAAAACAAUGAGAAUCAUUCCACUCAAAAGAGAACAGAAAGUAAGAACAAAAUGACACUUUAUAUUCCAUUUGAAUAAUCCACUUCUCCAUUAUUGUGUCAUCCCGGGAAAAAUGAUUGCAAGUUUGACAGAGUGAAAGAAAAGAAAAGAAUUCUUCCAUAUAUAUAUAUAUAUAUAUAUAUAUAUAUAUAUUACAAAAUUUUUAUCCGUUUAACAAAAAAAAAUAACAAGAAUAAGUUAUUGCAAAAAGUUUGGUUGAACUGGGUUGUUCAUAAUUUGGUUUAAUUUGUGAGGAUUUAUUUUGGAUUUAAAUUGCUAAUUCUAAAAGUCUAAAUUGAUGAUAAAAAAUAAAAAAUAAAAAUUCCCAGUAACAUUCCGUCUUACUAGUCGUUAAUCUUAAUUUAUUUUUUUUUAUUUUUUUUAUUUUAUAUGUUGUAUAUAUAUGUUCUUUUUUCUUUUUUUCUUUUAAAAAUAAAAAUAAAAAAUAAAAAAAAAUUCACAAAAAUUUAAAAAUAUGUGUUACCGGUAUACCCUUAUGAUUGGAUAUACAUGUUUUAAUAUUUUAUAAAGGGUUUCAUUUCUUAUCUCUUUGCAACAUGUUAUAUAUUGCUUUGGACUGUAUGCAUUACUUAUCCCAUGUGAUAUUUGAUGUGAGUUUGCUAGAAUGGUUAUACAGACAGGUUUUUGCAUCCAAGUUUAGGGGAGACGUCUUUCCUACUGGAUCAUUGCCGGAUUUCAUAGUCUUUGCCAUCACGGUUAAUAAGGUUUAAACGGACUAAUUUAGGUCCACUAAAGUCUUUUUGGAGUCAAAUAAAGACAUUCAGAAAAAGUUCAGAAAAUGGCGAAAAGAGGUCGCAGCCUAUUGCUCGUAUAGUAUGCUUAUUCUUUAAAAGGCGGUCAAUUCUAUCUUUCUCGGGCCUUUGAUUAUGUUCCCAAAGGUGAAGAAGCAAAUCAAUUAUCCCGGAGCCAAAAUGGAGCUAAAUAAGGUGUAAAAUGAAAUUCCAACUCUGGGGGAUCGAUUCUCCAGAGUGGGGGAUCGAUCCCCCACUAUUCACAGAACUAAAAAUGCCCUUGGGGGAUCGAUCGCCAAGGCUGGGGGAUCGAUCCCCCAGCCCCUGGCAGCAUUACGGGAUUUUUUCUUUUGGGCUUAUAUUUUUUUGUAACUUAUGGGCUUUAAUAGAGUUUAUUAUUUAAGGGAAACAAGCUCAUUAUUUUUAGGGUUAGUUUUUCAUUAGUUUUAGUGAAUAUUAUUAUUUGGAUAAUUAAGUUUUAUUUUUUAGUCUGUAUCGUUAUAUCGAUAUUCUUUCUGGAAAACACGCGAAAGAGGAGAAACGAAGAACGGGCUAGGGUUUGGAAGAAAAGCUCAGAGAAGAUGAAGCAAAUGAUGGGGAUUCUCCUGUCUUCGACUCCAUCAAUCAUGAGUGGCUGAUUCUUCUACUUAGGGUUGGAUAAACCCUAAGCAUGUAACCUAAACUUUCUCUCUUUUCACUUUUUGGGAAUUAUUUGUGUAAUUUUUAUAUAACCUUGAAAUAUAAAUUAAUUCUUUCAUUUGA